CUCAGUGAAACUGCUUUGGGCACGGUGGGGACUUCUGUGACUGAGCUGGAGGGAACCGAAUAAAAAGGGGGCCAAAAUGGAAGCAGAGAUGGGGACAAAGAGGGUAGGGCGUCCGUGAGUAUUGGCAAAAUGGGACAGUUUCUGUUAGGAGGAUGCAAGCUGUUGGAAUGCAGAAGAUUUGGAAGGGGAGCUUCGGGAAGGGAGGCACAGCAGUUUUCCUCCAAACAGAAGAGCAGUAGAGGGACCUCCCUCAGAGGACUGCUUCAGCCGAGGAAACUCUGCGUUAGGGAGACAUCGUCAAAACAGAACAAAAUAAAAAAAUACAAAAAGGAGGGGGAUCAAGAGAUGGAUAGAACAAGAUACAUCAUGAAAGGUACAAGAUCCCAAUGAUGAAUGUAACCGGACUGUAUACCUAAAAUAUACUAAUAAAGUCAAUGGAAAAACAGAUGGAUGGAGAAUAGAAGGGAAGAGAAAGGGGAUGAAAAGAAGAUGUGUUGUGUACUCUUAUCAACUCCCAACAAGAAAUGUAAAUGGAAAGAAAGAAAGAAAGGUAACUAGAGAAAGUAAUAAAGGAAGGAAGAAGGAAAAGAAGGAAGGAAGGAAG
Molecule: long non-coding RNA, 604 nt
Filed under: Fukomys damarensis (Damara mole-rat)
Lineage: Eukaryota; Metazoa; Chordata; Mammalia; Rodentia; Bathyergidae
Description: lncRNA (ENSFDAG00000023979.1)
Source: RNAcentral